UGACCUCUGACCUCAAAUCAGGUAGGACUACCCGCUGAACUUAAGCAUAUCAAUAAGCGGAGGAAA
RNAcentral lists this ribosomal RNA (66 nucleotides) under basidiomycete sp. CE1. Its description in RNAcentral is "partial large subunit ribosomal RNA". The stretch from base 8 to 66 matches the Rfam family "Eukaryotic large subunit ribosomal RNA", at positions 1 to 59 of the family's 3401-position model. The record is from RNAcentral. Lineage: Eukaryota; Fungi; Basidiomycota.